UACGUAGGGAGCAAGCGUUGUUCGGAUUUACUGGGCGUAGAGGGCGCGUAGGCGGCAAAUUAAGUCAGCUGUGAAAUCUCCGAGCUUAACUCGGAACGGUCAGCUGAUACUGAUCUGCUAGAGUGCGGAAGGGGCAAUCGGAAUUCUUGGUGUAGCGGUGAAAUGCGUAGAUAUCAAGAGGAACACCUGAGGUGAAGACGGGUUGCUGGGCCGACACUGACGCUGAGUGCGCGAAAGCCAGGGGAGCAAACGGG
Molecule: ribosomal RNA, 254 nt
Filed under: uncultured bacterium
Lineage: Bacteria
Description: partial 16S ribosomal RNA
Rfam family: Bacterial small subunit ribosomal RNA
Source: RNAcentral